Molecule: transfer RNA, 73 nt
Filed under: Camelus ferus (Wild Bactrian camel)
Lineage: Eukaryota; Metazoa; Chordata; Mammalia; Artiodactyla; Camelidae
Rfam family: tRNA
About the family: Transfer RNA (tRNA) molecules are approximately 80 nucleotides in length. Their secondary structure includes four short double-helical elements and three loops (D, anti-codon, and T loops). Further hydrogen bonds mediate the characteristic L-shaped molecular structure. tRNAs have two regions of fundamental functional importance: the anti-codon, which is responsible for specific mRNA codon recognition, and the 3' end, to which the tRNAs corresponding amino acid is attached (by aminoacyl-tRNA synthetases). tRNAs cope with the degeneracy of the genetic code in two manners: having more than one tRNA (with a specific anti-codon) for a particular amino acid; and 'wobble' base-pairing, i.e. permitting non-standard base-pairing at the 3rd anti-codon position.
Source: Rfam by way of RNAcentral
GAGGGUAUAGCUCAAGCGGUAGAGCGCGUGCUCAGCAUGCGUGAGAUCCUAGGUUCAAUCCCUAGUACCUCCU